Molecule: long non-coding RNA, 997 nt
Filed under: Medicago truncatula (barrel medic)
Lineage: Eukaryota; Viridiplantae; Streptophyta; Magnoliopsida; Fabales; Fabaceae
Description: lncRNA gene36705
Source: RNAcentral
UUCUGUUUUUCUUUUUAAGGAAAAAUGUUUUUCAAUUAAAAAACAUGAUGCCUAAACAAUGAAGUGCCUAUAUAGUCUUUCUUUUACUCUUCUCAGAGGCCUUAUUAUUUUUUGUGUUUCAUCAAUCAUAUGGUUUUGUAGAUUGGGUAAAAGUUGAAGAAGGCGACUACAAGGCUUGAGAAACAAUUGGCAAAAGAGCAAAAGAGAGGGCAAUUACAAGGCUGCAAGACUAAGAGUAGAAGAUAGGGAAAAAUUACAUUGUAGUUUCUUCACAUGAAUCAUGUUCCUUAAUAUAACUAGUGUUUUGUCAUAUUUUAGUGUUUGUUGAAAUGUAUGUUAUGCAUAUUUUAUACCUUCAUAUUGAUGGAGACUUAUGUAUUUUAUGACAAAUGUUGGGUUUUUUACCUCUUACAUUUUAUAAUUUCUUUAUCAAACAAAUAAUUUAAAUUUGAUACUUAUUAUGGCUUUUGGAAUUCAUUACUAGAAAAUAAAGAAAAUAUAGCUUUUGUGGACGAAGAGCUUUCCUGCGGAAUAGUUCAGAUUCCUGAGGAUUUUCCUGCCGAAACAGCUUUGCUGCAGAAUUACCUGAGGAAUCUGCUGCAGUAUUACAUGCGCAGGAAUCAUUCACGGGCAGGGGAAUUUCUGCCACUCUGACCAAAAGGUUUCCUGCGGAUAUUGUUCGCUUUUCUUGAGGAAAGUUCCGCAGGAAAUUUUCCUGCGGUUUCUAAAAUCCUCAGGAAACAACUAUCCACGAAGGUAUUACCUGGGAGUGCUAAUCUUCGGCCGCAGGAAAGGUGUUUUCUGCGGAAUUUUCACCAGAUUCCGCCGGAAAAUCCGCAGGAAAUUCGAGAGAUUCUACUAGUGCUAGUGUAGAUCCAACCAAUAACUUUGGUGUCGUCAACAUUGCAGAUCCGGAGACGUAUGUUAUUAACAUGAAUGUUAUGAGUUUGUUCGCAUUUUCAUCCUUUGUGUUUUUAGCGAAUUUGCAUUCUAUCGA